AAUUUCAAAGGGUAGUUGGGUCUUUCAGAUUUUCUUCGUUGAGUUUGAUUACCGGGGAGUCCACUAAAUGGAUAAAAUUCUGAGCUGCUGGAUUUAAGAGAGGUUGGACAACUGGUCACGUAGUCAGGUUUGGUAGGAACCGGUGGGGAUUGGUGGUAAUUGGCGUUUUCCAACUUUCUCGUCGAUGCCGCGGUUUUGGUUUCCAGUUUCGCAACUAAAUUUUUCUCGGAUACGAUUCUGUGUUCGAAGCAGAGCGACGUGAAUUGUCAUUCCAGUGAGAAAUUCACGCCCUGUGGGAAUACAGAAGCAGUUGUAGGUUUCAGACUAUUCUGAUGCAUCCAUACGUUUUUCUUUUUGUUUGUCUCCGCCACAGUGAGAUUCAAUAGUAGCCGAACUUGAAAACUCUGAUGCAGUCUCGACGUCAUUAGAACCUUCUUGUGCAAAACAGCAUAUCAUAGCAUAGUACAGACGACGAACUGCGCAGCUCAUUAGCAGUCAUGUUGUGUGAGGGUUAGGGUUGACACAGGUUAUUCGAUAGAUUUGAAAACUUGGAUUCUGUUUUCAGCCAUCGAAAAACAUUCGAAGUGAUGUGCAGUUGCUGCAAGCUAAUUAUCAGAAAGGGAGUUGGUGUGACUUGGUUCACAGUAUCAAAUUCAAUGCCUCCAUCGUAAGUUUAGAAAUACUAAGUCCCAGAAGAUUACUUGAUGCAGUAGCACAUACGCUUUCCUACUUGAGGCUCCGCGCUUAGGAUUGAUGGUAGACACGCACUUUUCAAGGUCCCAGUGGAUGCUAUGAGGCAGAUCAUUUGUUCUUCUGUUGUGUAAGGUGCAAGGUUUUAGAUCCUGGAAGAAAACCCCAAAAUUAUAAUGUCCUAUAUUAGUCCGCUCACGUAAGAAGAGUGUGUUUUUAAUGUGGGGUGUAAUCUGUUCUUUUGUUGGAUGAUGUUGAUGAAUCAUGUUCAAUUCCUAGCCAUGGCACUUGUCUGCUGCAGUACAGUCUCUUGCUAUCUCUUUAUUCAUACCUCUUGCACGUCUUCAUGUCUUUGGUGAUGAGUGAGAAGAAAGACCCUAAGACAUGUACAUUGAUCCUACAUUUUAACUCCUGAAUUCAGGACUGACUGCAAGACCUUGCAAGACGUGGGCUACUGCGGAGUCAACAACCUUUCAGAAUCACCAUUCUGAUGAAACACCGAGCUUAGUUUACAAUUUUUGAUGAUGUCAGGCAGAUGUGCAAACUUUUGUGUCUUCAACAAGGUUCUUGUUAUCCACAUUUUCAAGAAUUUGGUCAUUAUACCAUGUCAUUCUAGUUUUUUGUUCUUCCAAAUAUUUUUUUAUUGUUUCAUCUACACAUUACAUAAUUUUGAUUCAAUAUGUGCUUCUAAA
RNAcentral lists this long non-coding RNA (1382 nucleotides) under Physcomitrium patens. RNAcentral's name for it is "long non-coding RNA (PPAT_LNC008619)". Lineage: Eukaryota; Viridiplantae; Streptophyta; Bryopsida; Funariales; Funariaceae. The record is from RNAcentral.